Molecule: long non-coding RNA, 1285 nt
Organism: Cyprinus carpio (common carp)
Lineage: Eukaryota; Metazoa; Chordata; Actinopteri; Cypriniformes; Cyprinidae
Source: RefSeq, a predicted model, not a curated record
ACCAACAACUUCCUCUGUCGCCUGCUCACUUCCUGUUUCUGCGUCUGAGGGCCCAACGGUGCAGUGAUGAUUAGCUGGGCCUUUGCGUGACAAUCAAGCAGCCAGACGCUCUUAGUUUCCCCCAUUCAGACCGGAAGCAGCACUAUUGCAACGAAUCAUCUGUGAAAUCUGUCUGCAGCCUUUCAAAAACAGGAAGUGUAACUGAGAUCUGAUAAAGACCCUCUCGAUUUCAUCUAGAUCACAUGGGCAUCAGUCAUCAGGUCGUGUCCCAUGAAGGCAAAUAUUGCUCAUCUGAAAAAAAAAAGAACCAGGAUAUUUCACAAAAUGAUGCCUUUGCAAUCAAGGAUGUCAUGCACCUGCCUCAGGACUUCUCUGAACCAAAUGAGUGAUGGGCCCAACUGAAAGCAGGUCAUACCAACCGCACAACUAACCAUGGAACACACACACACUUAUACACUCACACACAGAGCCAGUUUAACAUGGAACACAAACGCUCACACUUCACACACACAUCCACUUUACCGUGGAACACUCAUUUCUCAACCUGUGGUCACAUCCCUACCCAGAAUGCACUCUGGCUGCGGUGACUCAUGACAUUCUGAUAAUCACCCAAAAACUGAAGUUCCACAGAACUUGAAUGUGUGUGUUAGUGGGGGUGUAAGGAAAGUGAUGCACGGAUUUACAAAUGUACAGAUAGAUAGAUGUAUGGAUGUACGGAUGGAUGAUGAACAAAUUAAUGUUGAAUUAUUAAUGGAUAUUAAAUGUAAUUUUCAUUUGUUUCUUAAAUUCACAUUUUUACUCCAAUUGCAAUUUCUUUAAAAAAAAAGAAAUCUUAUUAAACCUUAUGCACACUGAUACCAGUAUAUAUUAAAAUUUUAUAUUGUUUACAUAUAUUGUUUACAUAUUAUUGGAUUUAAAUAAUUGAAUUACAAAUAAUUAUGAAAGUUCUUCCAGUAACGCUAAUCGAAUGUUCAUUCAGCGUUAUCUGGUCUUUAAUAAUGUUCUCAAAACAGCACAAUAACGUUAUUUAUACAUUGUUUAUGGAACUUUUAUCUAAAACAUUUCAGUUAGACGUUUGUCUGACAUUUUUACAUUUUCACUUCUUCCUCCAGAACAUUCAGAGAACAUUCAAAAGUAACAUACCCAUAAUGUUUGCCAAAUUAUAAAAUGGAAUGUACUUUUAACAUUCAUAUAACUCCAAAAAAGCAUUUUACAUUUUUUAAAAACAUUUUGGACUUUCAGAGAACCAUAUUUUCAUAAACUAAUGGAAACAUUGGCAAAACAU